Molecule: long non-coding RNA, 3105 nt
Filed under: Heterocephalus glaber (naked mole-rat)
Lineage: Eukaryota; Metazoa; Chordata; Mammalia; Rodentia; Bathyergidae
Description: lncRNA (ENSHGLG00100032886.1)
Source: RNAcentral
AGAAAAGCUUGACUGGCGGGGGGAGUGGGGCCUGAAAUCCCUUUAUUAUUAAAGAAGAAAGACUAAAAAUAAAGGCACUGAAUACACAUCAUAAGAAAUGGGCGAAGAGGCAAACAAAAAAGAAAGGACGAAAUGGGAAUUAAUCAAUAGCUAAAAUUAAUAACAGAAAAUGAGAACAAGGAAAGAUAAAUGCACAAGUGGGAUGCUUUGAAACCAGAAGUGGCAAGAGAGGCCUGUGGCUGUCUCAGCCUCAUGAGCGCUGUUUUGCUCGGCUCCUCGGAGUGCUGAGCCCUGGGCUCCUCAUCUCUGUUCACCGACCACAGGGCCUUGAAAUUGCAGAACCCAGGCGCUGCACUGCAGAAUCUGGCGAUUUUGCUAUCCAGGCAAGACUCUUUGGACUAAAAUCUUUAGCAUUUCCUCCCAGAAAUAAAACUCCUACGUCUGGGCUUAUUAAACAAAUGAGUCAGUUUUGUCUUUUUCAGCAAUGAAAACUGCUGUGGUUUUGUUUUCUCCUCCUUGCCAGGAGUCAAGAGGAAGUCUGUGGUUAGACAUGUUCGGGUGGAGACCAACUCUUAACAUUGCAGAGAUUAAUGAACUCCUAGAUUCAAGCUUGCAGCCCAGCCAGUGGGGCUGAUGACCCUGAACAGAUGGAGGGGACAGAAAGGUCUCCAGAACCUCUGUCCCCACCCUGCCUCUGCUUCCCAGUCUGACAUAAGAUCCAGUGGACUAGCUUUGUCUUCAAUGCAUGAUCUGUUUCCACUCAAAUCCGGAGGCUGGAUUUCAAAGAUCCCCGGGGAUCCAGUGCCCAUCUCUGCGUGGAGGCUGGGACCCAUCAAUCCUCCCGGUGGCGCUCCCUUCUUUUCCAUCAAAACCCCAGAUUUGUCAGGGGUUAUAGUGCAGGCAACUGAAAGAGUUUCCUUCCCCAGCCUCUGUGUAGCUGGAGGUUCAGCAUUUGCUUACAGUGCCGGCCAACAUCACAGCCAUUGCUGGGUGUCUAAGAAAGGGUUCACAUUCCCAAUGUGAGCACUUGCUCUCCUUCGUUCUUUCUUCUUCCUCUUGCUUGGAAUUUGAGCAACAAGCAGUGCCUUGCGUUUACAAGGUAGCAUAGGUGAGGAUGGGAUGGGAGAGAAAGAGUGGAUCAGACACCCAGUGGUAUUAUUAAGUCACUUCCUCCUGCUCCUUAUCAUGUCCUGGACUUCUUAGAUCAGGGAAAAUAAAAUUCCAUCUCAUCAAACCGCUCCAGUGGGCUGUUGUGUUACUUGCAGCUGAAUGCAUUCCUAAAUGGCUUUCAUAGGUUUUCCAAACAUCUUCACCUCCUUCUCUUAUGAGGCCCCCACAGAACUACUUCAUAGUAGAUUCAUGACUUUCCUUCUAUUUUUAGAUGGAGAAGCUGAGGUUCCAUGGUGGAUUGGACAAAGAAUUUGUGCUAGAACUCCAAGACCCUCUGUUACCCAGUUCUUUGCUUGUCCCAAGAAAAAUCCUUCUUGCCCCCAAGAUGAUCAGAGGUGUCCUUUCCACGGGAUAGUUUCCCACACACUGUGUCCCAUGCAAGAGGGGAAAUUCCUCAAGAGCCUGGCAGCCUGUGAGUGGUGGCAGUCCCACCUCCAACAAGAGCAGGGGUGCUCUUUCUUCUUAAAAUCUGUCAGUCUGAGUCAAAAGAUCAGGGCUCAGGUCUUGGGUCUCCCUUACUCUCUGUGUGAUCUUGGGGAAAAUCUCUGAACCCCCCUCCCCAGGCGUCUAUAAAAUGGGAGUAGCCAUUCUUCUCCCUGGAGGCUACCACAAAUCCAAAGAUCCAAGAUGAUCUAUGAUAUGUUAUAGAGCCUGUGGAUAAUCGUCCCUGAGUGCUCAGGAUGUCAGAACAGCACUUAGGGCAUGAUAAAGCACAGGGUGUCCUGAUGAUGGGGCUGCUGGCAAGAUGACUUCAGUCUGUCUCCGACCCGACUCCUCCCUGAGCUCAGCCCUCUUGAUGGUUGAUGUGUAAAUUACCGAUAUGCUCCCCAUGCCUUUGUGACCACUCGUCACAGUUUGCCUGCCUCAUCGAGGCUAGAGCAUUGAUCUCAUGAGACUCUGUACCUUUCAGAGAGGAUCAUUUCAGCAUGACAAUUCUUACUAAGUCAAGGUACUCAGUUUCAUAAGUUCUUUACAGUGGACCCUUGGCUUACAAACUCAAUCAGUUCCCAAGGGCUGGUUGUAAUUCAAGUUGGUUAUAAAUCACUUUGGCUGAGAUCUGGAUGUUUACCUGGGUACACACUGUGGGUAACAAGAGGCAGAUAAAUCUUCCAUUAACCUAAUUAACCCAAGUUGUUCAUAUGUCAGCCCAAUUGCAACUUGAGGGUCCAUUGUAUUUUCUUAGCAACUGGAAUUUAUUUACUCAUACAAUUUCAAAAAUAUAUGUGUAUUGUGCUAGACAUUGUGCUGGGGACUUUCAGGAUGGGAAGGAACUUGAAAAGCAUCUGGUUCACACUGGAUGUGGCAGCACACACCUGUGGUUCUAGCAUUCUGGGAGGCCAAGGCAGGAGGAUUGCAAGUUCAAGCCAAGCCUGGGCAAUUUAGGCAAUUUAAAAUAAAAAAGGACAGAAGAUAUAGCUCAGUACAAAGACAAAAUAAUAAUAUUGAUAAUAAUAAUCUAUUCUAGACUUCCUUCCAAGCUGAGCCUCCUCAUACAGGGCUGGCAUCCCCUCUUUCUGCUCCUGCACUCAACACCCAUGGACAUAGAGCAUCCUCGGGCCCACCUUGGGGCCAGUCUGUCCCUUGGGUGUCUGUGUGUUCUCUAGAAUGUCCUCCUUGGCAGACACCAGGAUGUGUUCUUGGCAAACUCUGUGCUGUGCACACUUGACUGUGUGGGAUGGAGACUGGCAGAGUGAGUGGGGACGAGAGGGCCCCUGAGAGGUGUUGCCAGCAGGAAGUGCCAUCUGGGCUGCAUGGCGAUGGUGAGGACAGCAUCAGUCAGCUGCCACCGUGGCUUCCAAGAGUUUGUCCUUCAUGCCAGGAAGGAGCUCAGAGCAGGUGCCAUUCAGCGAAAGCCGGCACACUGAGGGAGGCCAGGCUGGGCUUGAGGGGUGACAUCAGGAAGCCACUGCUUAGUUAACUGCAGGGAUCCAGGAG